UAAUUUAAGACGGUGUUCUGACAAAACGUCCUACCUAUCAAGCUGUCCUACUUGUUGUUACUGCGCAUGCGCACAAUUCAAAACGGCCAUAUUUCCGGUUUAAAUAGUACACGCCUAUUAUUUCAUCCUACCCCGAUCUUGUGCCGAUCUCGUUGCUUCGAAAAAAGUUAUGGAGAACAAAUACGAGGAACUGCUCAUGUUUCUGUCUGUUGGGUCCUACCCAUCUGAAUACGAUAAGUCCCAGAGGCAAACCCUUAGGAGAUACUCUGCAAAAUUCAGGCUGAAGGGCGGAGUGCUCUUGUUUGGAAACAGGAGAGUGAUAAAAACAAAAGAAGAAGCCAUGGGACUAUUUCAAGACUUUCAUUCAAGUCCCAUCGGUGGACACACUGGUGUACUCAAGACUCGAACUGCAAUGUGUUCCAGAUUUUACUGGUAUGGAAUGUCGGUUGACAUUGUUAAUUGGGUGUCACAUGUCUGGGAGCUAAUCG
Oreochromis aureus is the source of this 488-nucleotide long non-coding RNA. RefSeq lists it as uncharacterized. The record is from RefSeq and is a predicted model, not a curated record. Lineage: Eukaryota; Metazoa; Chordata; Actinopteri; Cichliformes; Cichlidae. The transcript has 4 exons.